This 253-nucleotide ribosomal RNA is filed under the name uncultured prokaryote. RNAcentral's name for it is "partial 16S ribosomal RNA". It matches the Rfam family "Bacterial small subunit ribosomal RNA", at positions 524 to 776 of the family's 1533-position model. The record is from RNAcentral.
UACAGAGGGUGCAAGCGUUAAUCGGAGUUACUGGGCGUAAAGGGCGCGUAGGUGGUUGUACAAGUAAGGUGUGAAAUCCCUGGGCUUAACCUAGGAAUUGCACUUUAAACUGUAUAGCUAGAGUGCGGUAGAGGGUAGUGGAAUUUCCGGUGUAGCGGUGAAAUGCGUAGAGAUCGGAAGGAACACCAGUGGCGAAGGCGGGUCUCUGGACAGUUCCUGACACUGAGGCACGAAGGCCAGGGGAGCAAACGGG